UGAGGAAUUUUGCGCAAUGGGCGAAAGCCUGACGCAGCGACGCCGCGUGGGCGAUGAAGCUCCUUGGAGUGUAAAGCCCUGUCAGGUGGGACGAAACCGGGUGGGUGAACAACCCUUCCGCUGACGGUACCACCAGAGGAAGCCCCGGCUAACUCUGUGCCAGCAGCCGCGGUAAUACAGAGGGGGCUAGCGUUGUUCGGAAUCACUGGGUGUAAAGGGUGCGUAGGCGGUCCGUUAAGUCUGAUGUGAAAGCCCUGGGCUCAACUCAGGAAUGGCAUUGGAAACUGGCGGGCUAGAAUACCGGAGAGGGAAGCGGAAUUCCUGGUGUAGCGGUGAAAUGCGUAGAUACCAGGAGGAACACCGGUGGCGAAGGCGGCUUCCUGGACGGACUAUUGACGCUGAUGCACGAAAGCGUGGGGAGCAAACGG
RNAcentral lists this ribosomal RNA (428 nucleotides) under uncultured bacterium. Its description in RNAcentral is "bacterial SSU rRNA". It matches the Rfam family "Bacterial small subunit ribosomal RNA", at positions 355 to 775 of the family's 1533-position model. The record is from RNAcentral.